RNAcentral lists this unclassified non-coding RNA (336 nucleotides) under fungal sp. RNAcentral describes it as "partial internal transcribed spacer region". The stretch from base 1 to 46 matches the Rfam family "Eukaryotic small subunit ribosomal RNA", at positions 1786 to 1831 of the family's 1831-position model. The record is from RNAcentral. Lineage: Eukaryota; Fungi.
AAGUCGUAACAAGGUUUCCGUAGGUGAACCUGCGGAAGGAUCAUUAACAAUUCAACAAUACUCGUGUUUGGUAUGGUGUAACAGCAUCAUUGCUGUGUUUGUCUGUCUGGUUCCUCCUCCUAUAUAUAUGUGUAUCAUACUACUAUGGUAUGCGGGGGGUGGGAUGGACGGGGAGACGCACAAGGAUGGUGGUGCCGUACCAGUUAACAACACAAAACACUUACAUUAAACUACUUGAGACAACAAAUACACAUAUACACUUUUUCGGGUGUAACAACCUUGAGAGAGAGAAUACAUAAUUAAAAACAACUUUUAACAAUGGAUCUCUCGGCUCUU